This 458-nucleotide ribosomal RNA is filed under the name uncultured bacterium. Its description in RNAcentral is "bacterial SSU rRNA". It matches the Rfam family "Bacterial small subunit ribosomal RNA", at positions 328 to 801 of the family's 1533-position model. The record is from RNAcentral.
UCUGUGAACUCCUACGGGAGGCAGCAGUGGGGAAUUUUGGACAAUGGGGGCAACCCUGAUCCAGCAAUGCCGCGUGAGUGAUGAAGGCCUUAGGGUAGUAAAGCUCUUUUACCCGGGAUGAUAAUGACAGUACCGGGAGAAUAAGCUCCGGCUAACUCCGUGCCAGCAGCCGCGGUAAUACGGAGGGAGCUAGCGUUGUUCGGAAUUACUGGGCGUAAAGCGCACGUAGGCGGCUAUUCAAGUCAGGGGUGAAAUCCCGGGGCUCAACCCCGGAACUGCCUCUGAAACUAGGUAGCUAGAAUCUUGGAGAGGUCAGUGGAAUUCCGAGUGUAGAGGUGAAAUUCGUAGAUAUUCGGAAGAACACCAGUGGCGAAGGCGACUGACUGGACAAGCAUUGACGCUGAGGUGCGAAAGCGUGGGGAGCAAACAGGAUUAGAAACCCUAGUAGUCCAUCAGCG